RNAcentral lists this long non-coding RNA (2116 nucleotides) under Podarcis muralis (Common wall lizard). RNAcentral's name for it is "lncRNA (ENSPMRG00000012762.1)". The record is from RNAcentral. Lineage: Eukaryota; Metazoa; Chordata; Lepidosauria; Squamata; Lacertidae.
GCAUGCCAGCCAUUUCCCUUCGGGGGGGGGGAUAAGUCAGGCCACAUGGCGGUCAUGUUUGUUUGCACUUCCUCCCCCCCUUAUUCCACUCUGGCUACUGACGCACUUCUGCACCUAGAAGGGAAAUGUAAAUAUCUCUUUUCUUUCACCUGAUAGAUGUUUGGUGGAGGGCAAGGGGAACCAUGGGCAGGGUCCAGGAUGCUCAGAUUACAGCCACCACACCUCCCCUUUCAUAAUGUAUUUUGGGGACUGUAAGAUUGGGAUUAGCAGCUAAUAAAAUUUUGGGUUCUCUUUUGUUCGGGGCUUCCAUCUUGUUCCACCUGGUGGCAGGUGGGAGUCCUGUCGCGACCGUCUUCAAUAAAUACCAAGCCUACUGGCUGCUGUUUUGCUCUGGUAUUCCUGGCUGGUGUCCUUGUUUUUUGUCCAGGGGGCCCCUCAGAUUUCUCCAUUAGCAAGACGCACCUUCCUUCCUGCAAGCUUCACUCGCUUCCCACCCCAUAAGCCCCUGCCCUGUCCAGAUAAUAAUAAUAAUAAUAAUAAUAAUAAUAAUAAUAAUAAUAAUAAUAAUAAUUUAUAUCUCACCAUUCCCCGGGCGAAGCCGGGCUCAUGAUCAAUUAAUUAAAAUGCAUUCUAAAAGCAACUCAUUCUAAUAUAAAAUCAAAAUCAAAUUAAUGGCAGAUACAGCAAUUCUGCCCGGUCCAACCAUUGUUCCCCCUGGAGAGGAGAGGAAAUCCCCAGAGGAAGAGGGAGGGGGGAGGCCUUCUCAGAAGCGGCUCUUUGUUUCCGCAAUCCCACCCAGGAAGCAGCCAGAAACCUUUUCCUCUCUCUCAGGCUUCCAUCUUUAAGCGUCUUUUCCUCUACCUGGUUCAUUGAGGAUGCAGAAGAUGUACACCUGUUGUCAGGAACAGGGGUGCCGAGUCCAUGGAAUGGCUCUCAGGAUUGAUAUAGAAGUUGCAUCUCAAAGGCAUUUUUGUUCCUCUAACUUUUUGUAGGCAGUGUCAGACUGACAGACAAGCUGAGAUACAAUCCAUCAAAAUUCAAUGACAGCGGCUGCGUGAAUCUUCCCAGUCAAAGGACCCAUUUUCAUGAUAGACAGCCCCCGUGGCUGGAGGCUCAACCCCCAGGGUGUGCCUAUACAGGCCAAAGACUGCCAGCAUUAGCACAGGUGCGUGUUAUCGAGCGAAAAAUACGGUACACCGGUCCACUUUUAUUUUGCUCCAUGAAGAAAGGACUAUCAAAGGGCAGCCAUAAUCCCUUCACCAUCCCAGCACAUCCACAGGAGCCCUGCCCAGUUGCUAUGCCAACCCUGAUGGUCCCAGACAGAAGACCAUCAAGGUAACAAAGAACUUGCAUAUAGGAGUGGAUUCAACAUGGACUGGAACAAAGGACAAUGAUCAGCUCUUCCCUCUGGGGGGCAGGAAACUGCAAACUCCCCUUGUCACAUGGAAAGUACUCAUGGGGAGGGGGAAAGGGGGGAACCGCCAGGUGGCAGGACACUCAGGUUACCACCACAACUCCUCCCUCAACCCCUCCUUUUUGUGAUGUAUCAGUGAUGUAGUUGUGAUGUAGUUUUAGGGGUGUAGUUUGAGGAAUUAGUAACUAAUAAAAGUUGGGGUCUUCUUUUGUUGUGGGCUUCCAUCUUGUUUCACCUGGUGGCAGGUGGGAGUCCUGUCGCGACAGUUUUCAGUAACGACCAAGCCUCCUGGCUGCUGUUUUGCUCUGGUAUUCCUGGCUGCUGUCCUUGUUUUUUGUCCAAGGGAGCCCUCAGAUUUCUUCAUUAACACUGGUCCUGCACCCCCAAAAGCUCCAGGCACAAGACUUUCAUUAGCAUUGAAGGGGCCAUCGGAUACUUGGUGAUCUUUUCUUCAAAAGACAAAUAUUCUGAAUAAUUUUUAAUUGAUGUAUGAUAUAAACAGCACUUCUGUUUUACAUAUUCCACAUUGGAGAGAUUUUGAUACACAGGUCUGAGUUCAUCGCUCCCCCCGAAACUGAUGUGUUAGCAGUCCUGCCAGCCUGGACAGUGUGUUUGGGGGUCCUGGGCUGCCUAGACAACAAGACCCCCUUCUCAGCCUGGCUUAUAUGGUCCCAAGGAAAGCAGAGCAAUACGUUAGGCACC